CUAAAAAACUGUCAAAUGGUAACAGCCCUACUUUCUACGCCAGGAAAACCCACUGUUGAGUUAGUUGGCUCUGAUUCCAAUGGUCUCAUCAGCUUUCUGAACGUAGGUACCUCAGCAGUGCCUCUUCCAAGAUAACAAAAUGAACUUUUAGAGAUUAAAAAAAUACAUUUUGGCAAUUGAAACUCACCAGCGCCUUUCUGCUUCUCCAGGAAGUUGUACCCGUCAGCACCUGCUGAGGGCUUUGUUGUCCAAACUCUGACAGGUAAAAAAAUUCCUGUAGAAUAAAGCCAGACCAGCUGGCUUUGAAGAGAAACCCCCCAGUUUGGGCUGCGUUUGUCUCCUCUCCUUUUCUAUGAAGACCCAGGCUUUCCCCCCUUGAUCGUCAAGCCGUAAGAUGCGUGAUCCCUGUGCACAAGUGUCUGGCAGGCCGAGGUGCACCUGUUCCUGUCACUCUGGAGUAAAUUUAGCUGUAAAGGUAUCACUGACAACCAGACCUUUGUCAGAGCUGGCAAAAGAACACAGAACUGCUGCCCUCCCCCACCCCUUCCAAACCCCUUCGCUGCUCGUUCAAAUGGAAAAUGUCAAAUCGGAAGUCUAUCCAAAAAUCAUUCCUGAAAAAAUGAGAUUGCUUUCAUAUGGUAAAAAGGCACCACUUUCAGAUAAAAACAUAGACCUGAAUGGCAUCAUCCAGUAUCCAAGGAAACCAUGUAGGUGUGUGCUUGGUGUCUACACAGAUGCUUGGACACAGAGAAGCAAAAUAUGGAGAGAUGGGGUCCGCACCUCAGGCUGAGUGUUCACCUUCUCUGGAACGAGAAACUGUCACCGCUAAGGAAUACUGUCACCGCUAAAGAACACCACACUGUCCAGUAUGGGGGCUGAUCAGAGAGACUGUUCAUGUAAGACUGAAUCUUACAAGCAGUGAUGCCACAGGCACGCCUACAGGAGCGUCCCCAGGCACGCGCAUGUCUCACAAUACCCUGUCCUAUCUCUUUCUCUUUACUUUGUCAUCAUUUGUUUUUUAUUCUCACUGCUUCUCAUAAAAAAGCCUUUCUGCAUACCUUGCAAUUGUUUCACGAUUCUGCAGUUUUCAUCUAGACCCUUACACAUUCUGGGAAUGGAGUGCUUGCACGGCGAA
Molecule: long non-coding RNA, 1135 nt
Filed under: Bos mutus (wild yak)
Lineage: Eukaryota; Metazoa; Chordata; Mammalia; Artiodactyla; Bovidae
Description: lncRNA (ENSBMUG00000015389.1)
Source: RNAcentral